RNAcentral lists this ribosomal RNA (1403 nucleotides) under uncultured archaeon. RNAcentral describes it as "bacterial SSU rRNA". It matches the Rfam family "Archaeal small subunit ribosomal RNA", at positions 18 to 1325 of the family's 1478-position model. The record is from RNAcentral.
CGGACCCGACUGCUAUCAGGGUGAGACUAAGCCAUGCGAGUCCACACUCUGGACUACGACAGAGUGUGGCGCACGGCUCAGUAAUACACGGUCAACCUACCCUUAGGACGCGGAUAACCGCGGGAAAGGUGAGCUGUAAUCUCACACCCCUCAAUAUUUAAUUUCUCCCAAUAAUUAUCACACUACAGCUCACCCCCGAGACUGCGGAUAAUCCGCGAUAGGAGAGAAUGCCUGGGAUGGUUUCUCUCCGAAAGGGCUUCAGAGUCAUGCCCUCUGAAGCCGCCUAAGGAUGGGACCGUGCCCGAUCAGGUAGUUGGUGGGGUAACGGCCCACCAAGCCUAGGACCGGUGCGGGCCGUGAGAGCGGGAGCCCGGAGAUGGACCCUGAGACAAGGGUCCAGGCCCUACGGGGCGCAGCAGGCGCGAAAACUCCGCUAUGCGCGCAAGCGCGACGGGGUCACCCUGAGUGCCGCUCGCUGAGAGCGGCUUUUCCCCCAGUCUAAACAGCUGGGGGAAUAAGGGGAGGGCAAGUCUGGUGUCAGCCGCCGCGGUAAUACCAGCUCCCCGAGUGGUCGGGGCGAUUAUUGGGCCUAAAGCGUCCGUAGCCGGCCUAGUAAGUCUCCUGUUAAAUCCAGCGAUCCAAUCGCUGGGUUGCAGGAGAUACUGCUAGGCUAGGGGGCGGGAGAGGCUGGCGGUAUUCCCGAGGGAGGGGCGAAAUCCCGAGAUCUCGGGAGGACCACCAGUGGCGAAGGCGGCCAGCUAGAACGCGCCCGACGGUGAGGGACGAAAGCCGGGGGAGCGAACCGGAUUAGAUACCCGGGUAGUCCCGGCCGUAAACGAUGCGGGCUAGGUGUCAGGUCAACUACGAGUUGACCUGGUGCCGAAUGGAAGCAAAUAAGCCCGCCGCCUGGGGAGUACGGCCGCAAGGCUGAAACUUAAAGGAAUUGGCGGGGGAGCACACAAGGGGUGGAUGCUGCGGUUUAAUUGGAGUCAACCCCGGGAACCUUACCAGGGGAGACAGCAGGAUGAAGGCCAGAUUGAAGGUCUUGCCGGACGAGCUGAGAGGAGGUGCAUGGCCGUCGCCAGCUCGUGCCGUGAGGUGUCCUGUUAAGUCAGGCAACGAGCGAGACCCCCGCCCCUAGUUGCUACCAGAACUCGGAAGGGUUCUGGGCACUCUAGGGGGACUGCCGCCGAUAAGGCGGAGGAAGGAGGGGGCUACGGCAGGUCAGUAUGCCCCGAAUCCCCUGGACCACACGCGGUAUACAAUGGCAGGGACAAUGGGUUGCCACCCCGAAAGGGGGAGCUAAUCCCCAAACCCUGCCUCAGUUGGGAUCGAGGGUUGCAACCCACCCUCGUGAACCCGGAAUCCCUAGUAAUCGCGCGUCACCAACGCGCGGUGAAUAC